RNAcentral lists this ribosomal RNA (381 nucleotides) under uncultured bacterium. Its description in RNAcentral is "bacterial SSU rRNA". It matches the Rfam family "Bacterial small subunit ribosomal RNA", at positions 430 to 793 of the family's 1533-position model. The record is from RNAcentral.
GCACUUUCAGUAGGGAGGAAGGUAGUGUAGUUAACAACCUGCAUUAUUUGACGUUACCUACACGAAGAAGACACCGGCUAACUCCCGUGCCAGCAGCCGCGGUAAUACGGAGGGUGCGAGCGUUAAUCGGAAUUACUGGGCGUAAAGCGCAUGCAGGCGGCCUGUUAAGUCAGAUGUGAAAGCCCGGGGCGUUAACCUCGGAAUUGCAUUUGAAACUGGCAGGCUAGAGUCUUGUAGAGGGGGGUAGGAAGUUUCUAGGUGUAGCGGUGAAAUAGCGUAGAGAUCUGAAGGAAUACCAGUGGCGAAGGCGGCCCCCUCGGACAAAGACUGACGCUCAGAUGCGAAAGCGUGGGGAGCAAACAGGAUUAGAUACCCUGGUAG